UAAGGAUGAUGCUGCUCUCUUUAACCCGCGUGGCAGACUGUUGACUUCGAGCAGACUCUUUCAUGGUCACAUCUUCCACCAAGUUUCAGUGAGCACAGCCGCCCGAAUCAUUCCUAUAAGGAAAAAACGCUGAGAUGCAUCGGCGUCCUGCAUAUAGUCGUGGGAGUGUUUUGUUCUUUCCUAGGCGUCUGUUUUGCCAUUGAUCUUCUGUCGUUCUUUAAAACCAGCAAUAUCUACCCUCCUUGGCCAGGCGUAUUUGACCCAUACAGUACGAACAAUGCUAGUUACUGGAUGGGAGUGAUUGGCGGAUCUUUGUUCAUCAUCACCGGAAUCUUUGGAGCGAUAGCUAGAAGAAG
This is a long non-coding RNA of Lingula anatina, 356 nucleotides long. NCBI's taxonomy places the organism in Eukaryota, Metazoa, Brachiopoda, Lingulata, Lingulida, Lingulidae. The record is from RefSeq and is a predicted model, not a curated record.